Molecule: long non-coding RNA, 146 nt
Organism: Thalassophryne amazonica
Lineage: Eukaryota; Metazoa; Chordata; Actinopteri; Batrachoidiformes; Batrachoididae
Exons: 3
Source: RefSeq, a predicted model, not a curated record
ACUCUCUUAAUGUGGCCCAUACUGUAAGUGUAGAUGGAAUCGGUCGACAGGCUGAGACUAGAGGUUGGAUCCACCUUGGUUAUGUACACCUGGAGUGAAAAAGGCAGAACCAUGUUAGAUAGAUUUAUUAUCUCGAACUACAAGUA